GGAUGACUGUUGCCAAGGUGUUG
This 23-nucleotide microRNA is filed under the name Panagrellus redivivus. Its description in RNAcentral is "prd-miR-37-5p". Its record names the gene prd-miR-37-5p. Lineage: Eukaryota; Metazoa; Nematoda; Chromadorea; Rhabditida; Panagrolaimidae. The record is from miRBase by way of RNAcentral.